AAUCAACGCUGGCGGCGUGCCUCAGACAUGCAAGUCGAACGAUUAAAGCUCUCUUCGGAGAGUGUAUAGAGUGGCGCACGGGUGAGUAACACGUAAGUAAUCUACCUUCGAGUGGGGAAUAACGUCCGGAAACGGACGCUAAUACCGCAUAAUGCAGCGGCAUCGCAAGAUGACAGUUGUUAAAGAUUUAUCGCUUGAAGAGGAGCUUGCGGCAGAUUAGCUAGUUGGUAAGGUAAUGGCUUACCAAGGCUACGAUCUGUAACCGGUCUAAGAGGACGGUCGGUCACACUGACACUGAAUAACGGGUCAGACUCCUACGGGAGGCAGCAGUCGGGAAUUUUGGGCAAUGGGCGAAAGCCUGACCCAGCAACGCCGCGUGAA
This 381-nucleotide ribosomal RNA is filed under the name uncultured bacterium. RNAcentral's name for it is "bacterial SSU rRNA". It matches the Rfam family "Bacterial small subunit ribosomal RNA", at positions 32 to 405 of the family's 1533-position model. The record is from RNAcentral.